GGAGAGAUGCCGGAGCGGUUGAACGGGACGGUCUCGAAAACCGUUGUUCAUCUUGGAUGGACCGAGGGUUCGAAUCCCUCUCUCUCCGCCA
RNAcentral lists this transfer RNA (91 nucleotides) under Candidatus Scalindua sp. RNAcentral describes it as "tRNA-Ser". It matches the Rfam family "tRNA". Rfam says of the family: Transfer RNA (tRNA) molecules are approximately 80 nucleotides in length. Their secondary structure includes four short double-helical elements and three loops (D, anti-codon, and T loops). Lineage: Bacteria; Pseudomonadati; Planctomycetota; Candidatus Brocadiia; Candidatus Brocadiales; Candidatus Scalinduaceae. The record is from RNAcentral. RNAcentral also lists the same sequence under 1 other name.